Molecule: ribosomal RNA, 484 nt
Filed under: uncultured bacterium
Lineage: Bacteria
Description: partial 16S ribosomal RNA
Rfam family: Bacterial small subunit ribosomal RNA
Source: RNAcentral
AUUGAACGCUGGCGGCAGGCCUAACACAUGCAAGUCGAGCGGAUGAAGGGAGCUUGCUCCUGGAUUCAGCGGCGGACGGGUGAGUAAGGCCUAGGAAUCUGCCUGGUAGUGGGGGAUAACGUCCGGAAACGGGCGCUAAUACCGCAUACGUCCUGAGGGAGAAAGUGGGGGAUCUUCGGACCUCACGCUAUCAGAUGAGCCUAGUUCGGAGUAGCUAGUUGGUGGGGUAAAGGCCUACCAAGGCGACGAUCCGUAACUGGUCUGAGAGGAUGACCAGUCACACUGUAACUGAGACCCUGUCCAGACUCCUACGGGAGGCCGCAGUGGGGAAUAUUGGACAAUGGGCGAAAGCCUGAUCCAGCCAUGCCGCGUGUGUGAAGAAGGUCUUCGGAUUGUAAAGCCCUUUAAGUUGGGAGGAAGUGUAGUAAAUUAAUACCUUGCUGUUUUGACGUUACCAACAGAAAAAGCACCGGCUAACUGCGUG